GCCCCUAUGGCUCAGUGGUAAAGCGCAUCACUAGUACUAACUAGGUUAAUGAUGAGAUCACUGGUUCGAUUCCAGUUGGGGGCA
Non-coding RNA from Hypoxylon sp. FL0543, 84 nucleotides. The record is from the annotation of a GenBank genome assembly. Lineage: Eukaryota; Fungi; Ascomycota; Sordariomycetes; Xylariales; Hypoxylaceae.